UACGUAGGGUGCAAGCGUUGUCCGGAAUUAUUGGGCGUAAAGAGCUCGUAGGCGGUCUGUCGCGUCUGCUGUGAAAACUCGGGGCUUAACCCCGGGCCUGCAGUGGGUACGGGCAGACUAGAGUGCGGUAGGGGAGACUGGAAUUCCUGGUGUAGCGGUGAAAUGCGCAGAUAUCAGGAGGAACACCGGUGGCGAAGGCGGGUCUCUGGGCCGUAACUGACGCUCGAUGCACGAAAAGCGUGGGGAGCAAACAGG
Molecule: ribosomal RNA, 255 nt
Filed under: uncultured bacterium
Lineage: Bacteria
Description: partial 16S ribosomal RNA
Rfam family: Bacterial small subunit ribosomal RNA
Source: RNAcentral